This 468-nucleotide ribosomal RNA is filed under the name uncultured bacterium. Its description in RNAcentral is "partial 16S ribosomal RNA". It matches the Rfam family "Bacterial small subunit ribosomal RNA", at positions 28 to 507 of the family's 1533-position model. The record is from RNAcentral.
GAUGAACGCUGGCGGCGUGCUUAACACAUGCAAGUCGAACGGAAGGGCCUCUUUCGGGGGGUACUCGAGUGGCCGACGGGUGAGUAACACGUGCGUAACCUGCCCUUGACUUUGGGUUAACUUCAGGCAACUGAGGCUAGUACCGGCUAGGUGCUCCUGUUGCCUGGUGGGGGCUGGAGAGGUUGGGCGGCUUGGGAUGGACUCGGGGCGUAUCCGCGUUUUGGUGGGGUAGUGGCUUAGCAAGGCUUUGACGGGGAGCCGGCCUGGGAGAGUGGAGGGCCACAUUGGGACUGAGCGACAGGCCACAGUCCGACGGGAGGCAGCAGUGGCGAAUAUUGGACAAAUGGGUGGAGGCCUGAUGCAGCAACGCCGUGGGCGGGAUGACUCUGUUCGGGGUGUAGACCGUUUUCGCUCAUGACGAAGCUUUGUGUGACGGUAGUGGAUAAAGAAGCAACGGCUAACUACGUG